Molecule: long non-coding RNA, 428 nt
Organism: Leopardus geoffroyi (Geoffroy's cat)
Lineage: Eukaryota; Metazoa; Chordata; Mammalia; Carnivora; Felidae
Exons: 2
Source: RefSeq, a predicted model, not a curated record
CGGGCGGCAGGGAGGGCACCGUGGAGGGCGGCUGGAGGUGCCGUCCGCGCCUGGAGAUCCUUCUGCUGGGGCGAUGCCACUCGCUGGCUGAAUUCGGCAUCUCUGCAGUACCUCUGACCGUAUUUGCAAAAUCCUAGCCGGGGGAUCGCUAGGGCUGCUCACUCACAUCUUCCAACACGUGUCCCCGGAACCACAAGGAGUCUUCUGAAGCCUGACCAUCUGUGACUACCUUUUAAAAGUAAACUUCAGGGGCGCCUGGGUGGCUCGGUCGGUUAAGCGUCCGACUUCGGCUCAGGUCGUGAUCUCGCGGUUCGUGGGCUCGAGCCCCGCGUCGGGCUCUGUGCGGACAGCCCGGAGCCCGGGGCCCGCUUCCCAUUCUGGGUCUCCCUCUCCCUCUGCCCCUCCCCUGCUUGUGCUCUGUCUCUCUC